GGCACUGCUGGUUCUAAGCUACCUCUGCCUUUCAUCAGAACAAGAGAAGAGGACUAAUCCAGCCCAUGCACUUCCGUGUUAGAAAGGUAAUGUGUGAACUGAGUCUGAAUGAAUGUUGGUGGCUUGUGACUCAGUGGCCCAGUUCAUAUGAGGAUUCAUAAACCAUGUUUAUGAAGUGAGGAAUAAGCUUUGGGAACAAGCAGUUCUCCCUUGCCUUUCCUCUUCUCUCCUCCCACUGUAUGUCGGGUUGGCACCUAGAUCCUGGCUUGUGUGAAGCCAGAGUUGGCUGUUACAGUGGAAUUUGAGAGCUCUAGCUUAAAGUCUGGUAACAAACCAGCCAGUGGGAUAGGAAGGAUGAGGACCACCUGGCCCAGGUCCUUGUUUAUGACUUCAUUGUUUUUGAAUGGUUUCCCAAACUAGGCUCAUUUGGAAAUGUUCUGAAGAUUCAGUCAAAUGUUUCUUGUUGCAUUUUAUUAGGUAAUGCUUCCCACAGCAAUAAAGCAGAUGUACAAACACUUGCCGGCACCAAAGUAAUUAAGCACAUUGCAAUUUGCUUUGCCAGCAAAGCGUAUGUAUGAUGUGUCUUCUUUUGAUGUCUUGUCGAACGGCUGAGAAUUUGGACUCCUCAGAAAAGGGAGGUAUUUCAAGUGUAGCCAAGGUGGCACCCUCCAGAUUUCGUAGAGGCUGCAGUCGACACUGUCCCUCACCACUAGCCAUGCUGGCUGGGUCUGAUGAAAGUUGUAGUUCAGCAACAUCUGAAAAGCACAUGUUAGUUACCCCCACAUUGAAACAAUAUUUAAUACAACUUUUUGAUUCCUUUAUUGAUGCUUCAAAAUUCAGCAACAAUUGAAACGGAGCUUCUGCAGCAGUAGUAUUUCUACAGUUAAAAUAUUGCAUUUUAGAAUGGUCAGCAUUUUAAAAUUGUAUAUUUGGUGCUCAUACCUAAAUGUGGUAUUAAUAUUUUCCUCCAUAUACUGCUGUUAACCAGUAAUCAGUGUUAAUUUUUAUUCUCCUUUUUGAGUGCAAGAGAUAACACAAGUUGCCUUAAAACAAGGGAGAUGAAAAUAAAUGCAGAAUGGGGAAAGAGAUGUUAUAUUUCAUUAUGAUCUGGAAAACUAAAGAUACAUGCUGUCUACCAUGCUGAGCCACAUGCUGAGAGCAGCAGUGAUCUGUUUUUCAAGACAUGCUAAUCUCUAUCCUGGGAAGCCUUUGGCCAGAAUAUGAUCCUUAACCUUUACCGCUUGUAGUUUUUCAUUGUGAUAGUCCAAGGUCCUUGAUCUGGAAUAUGUAUCUACACAUCUUAUAGUAAAACAUUGAAUAAAGCCCUUGAACUCAGUUGUGCAUGAGGAGGUGUCUGGCUAACAGAUGCACAGUGCAAAGGUUUUUCAUCUUUUCCUAUGUGAGAAAGAUUUUUACCACAUUUGUUACACAGGUGCUACCUGUUUCAAAAGCUGUACAAAGCCUGGCAUUAAUUCAGUGUGUGCGUCUUUGAGAAGUUAAGAAAAGAACUGUAUGAUGGUUACCAAAACCUCUAGCCAAAGCAUUCAGUAAGUGAAAUAUAGCUCCCAUCUUCAUUGCUACCUGACGUGUUGCCCCCUUAAGGUUAUUAUGUCACAGUGCUGAUGUGAGGUGUCAAUGCAGGAGUCACAUGCUCUACUUCCUUGCCUGGUCUGUCUGUACUAAAAGUGGACACACUGAGGGCAGGUGUGGUGGUGUGGCAUUGGCAGCAAAGCAGGGCAGCUCUGACUGAACUUGUUGGUAGAGAGAAUAUAGUUAUGAAACUCCAUUGUAUUUGAUGGUCUAUAUUUAUGUUCCUAGUUUUAGAGAUGGUUUAACGUUCUUUCACUUGUUCAGCCAUGCACAGCUUGCAUUCUCUAGAUCCAAACAAAUAGCUUCAUAUCACUGAGUUCAUUUUGAUAGUGAAACAAAAGUUUUAUGUAUUAACAAGGUUCACUAGGUACCUUUGGGUUUAGUGAAAUGCACCUGCCAAAUACUCCUACCUAUAGCUAAAAUGAGCACACAAACUUAUACAGUGUAUGCAGUUCAUGUUGAGUCAAUAAGAUAAGCACAUAUACCAGAAGCACCCAUGCUGAAAAAUACACAUGGCCUUAUGCUUCUCGUGCUAAUACCAACACCAACUUAAGACAUCAUCUGUCCAUCCUAAAUCUUUUCCUCUACCUUGUUUCUUGGGCCAACCUGGGCUGCUGUCACCUCUUUCCUUCCAUUCAUGCAUUAUACAGGAAAUCAAUUCCAUGAUGUUUCCUCCAGUGGUAGAACAUAAUGGUAGGAAUUUGUCUCUUCUGUUAAGUUUUGGGACAGCUUUGCAUGGAACUGGGAAGUGUCACAACGGGGAAGUGCAGUUGUGUUUUCUUUCUCUUUUAUCCACUCCUGAAAUUUGCACGUCUUUUCCAUGCAUGCAUGUGGAUGCUUGCUAUCAAUGUUCAGCCAGCUCAUGUACCUCUCCUCGCAAGAGAUAUGUAAGUUACAUGAGAAUUAUAUCUGUAUUAUGUAAAGCUGCUCACAAAAGCCCCCUUCAUGUUAUCCACAUGUAGAGGGCUCCAUCCAUGAAGGAGAACAGGAUUGCACUACUGACCAUGUUCUGAUGUUGCAUGCUUCCCCAACCCCAGCAAUGAUACAUUGUCUUGGGAGAGUCUCAAAAUCCAUUCUUACUGUUGGUAGUCAUAUUUUUCUAUGAGGGGGGAGUAAGGCAUGAACUUCAUGGACAGAUCACAGCUGUUGAAGCAGUCCAGUCAUGUAUACAUUGUCAUCUGCUGCAGAGACAAGAGGAGAGACAAAGAGGAGAGACAUACUGACCUGCUGUUGGGUAUCUACAGUGCAUGUUCACCUUCUCUGUUCCCCUGGGUGUGCAUUUAUUUUUUUCCAGCUGAAAAUAAUCCUGCAUUUUACUAAUGUUUAACAUUAAUUCCUCCUCUAGCAAAAGUUUUUACUAAAGCUGUCAGCAUUGUUGCUUGAGAAGGGGUUUCAUGGUUUGGCUCAGAAUCAAACCCGUGUUUCUCAUCUAUUUUCUUAUUAGAAUCUUGGCAUAUUUAUAAGCUGUGUGUGAUUUUUUAUUUUUUUUUUAGAAUGUACAUGGUCUUACUUUUAUUUUCAUUUGAUUACUCUCUCAACUGCAAUAUUUUGAGAGCAUGGGAAUUAUAUUGGGAGUUUUUUUUCUUAAAGUAAGAAGUAGUUGAGAGUAAUUAAAGGAUUUCAAAGGAAGUGCUUACUGUAUAAACCAGCAGGAAAGUAGAACAACAUAAAAGUCUAGCAUGAAGGUUUUUUCACAGUCUUCACAUAAUACACUGAAACUUUGAAAUGCCAAGAUCAUUUAAUAGGGUUUAGUCUGUCAGCUUACAUAUGAGUAGAGAGGCAGGGGGUGGACAGCUGCUAAUGAUCAUGGGAAUAUCAGGUUAAAUUAGGAGAGAGAGAAGCAGAAUGAAUGGUAGUAAAAGAGUUAAAGGAAAAUGACAAGGGCUUUCAAAGAUGUACCAAGGGAACAGUGUAAGUGGGUCUAUUAAUAGGGAAGAAAUAUGAGCAUAAUAACGACUCAAAAGUGUCGGAGUAAUCUUGAGAUUGAUCCUUAAUCAGGUGCUUGCCCCCUUUCCUGGUCAAAGAGUAAUCAAGUUGUGUUCUCUUCAAAUGGGGAUAAGGACGGUUUCACAUAACCAGUAAGUAUAGGGCUGGCUCUUUUUAUUUUGUUGAAAAUGACAGCUUGCUUACCUCUGUCCUUUCAUCAUGAUCUUGACUGCCACAAUAUUUUAGAGUCCUUGCAAGCUUGUCGAUUUGUGAGUGGUUUGUAGAUGCAUAUGUUACUUUGUGUAUGCAAAAGAGUAGUGUUUAUGUGUGAUUGUAAAUAUGCAGGAGAUGGUGUGAUUGUUAGAGUAACUGUGUGUGGUUCUGCAAGUGUAUGACUGUUCGGAUAGUAGGUCCUGGAUCUCUCUGACACUUCUGAUGUAACUCCAAGCCAGAAUCACCUGCCCCAGAGGAUAUCUAGCCAGUGAGUCUACCAGACCUGAGGUCAAGGGGCAACUCAUUGAAAACAAUUAUGAGGAAGAAAAGUUAACAAACUGCAAACUUGGGAGAAGCAUUUCAGAGUGGGAGCCAAAUCUAAAACCAACAUGGGACUGCUACCAAAAACCAGCAGCUCUGUGUCAACUCCCUUAGUAACAUAGGAAACUGCCUUAUUCCUAAUCAGGCCAUUGGUCCAUUUAACUCAGUAUUGCCUACAAUGACUAGAAUUGGUUCUUUAGGAUUUUACUCGGGAGACAUUCCCAACCCUGCCUGGAUAUGCUGUGGCUUGAACCUGGGAUGAUUUGAUUCGUUAUUUGGCCCCCACAUAGAGCUGCUGCACAGCACUAGUAUUUUUGAACCUCCAAUUGAUAUGAGAUGAUUUGCUGACAGGAGCAAUGCCAGGAUAAAGAGUGAGUCAAACUAGAUAUGACACAGUGGGCUGUUAUUUUUUUUAUGCGUGUUUCUGAUGUGUAGUUUUCUGCUCAGACCUUUCUGGUUGGGGAAGUUUAAAUUUCUCUCCUCAUCACCGGAAAUGAUAAUGGAUGCACACAUCACAUCUAAUUGCCCCUCAUUUGCUUUUAAAAAUUAUAUAUUUAUAAAAAUACAAUUAAGAUUCACAUUAACAAUGGCUGUUUUUUCAUUACACUGUGGAGUCUUUUAAGUUAAUGCCUGCUUCCUUUGGGAACUCUCCCUGGUCCUGUAAGGUCUGAACAUAGUUUCAUGAUUAUGAACUUGGCAUUUCCUAGAAAUAAAUAAAUGUGGUUUUUUUAACUUAAUCAUCCAGGGAUUCUUUUUAAUGGCUUCUGCAAAAGCAUCAGAAAUGUUAAUAUUUAAUGUCAUAUUUAUGAUCCAUUAUUGUUAUUUCAUUUAAUUAAUUGGUAGAAUAACCCCCAACUUUUUAUCGAUUGAGUGAAACCCAAGCAGCCACAAUGUCAAGAUUUUCAAGCAAUUACAGAAUUGCUUUUGGUAAUGUUGAAAGCAUUAUUUUGGCUUCAUGACUCAAUACAGCAACCUUUCUAGUGUCUUCCCUCACCCCCUUCAAUAUUUUUGUUUGAUAGGGACAUCAUGUUAAGAUUCAUUGGACCUUUGAAAUGUUACCUAGUUCUGAAUCCCACAUUUGAAGGAGAUGCAUUAGAAUGUGUCAAGACUGUGCAUAUUGGUAGGGAGCAGAGAAACAGUCUAAUCAUAUAUCCCUGCUGGGGUUUUUGUAGCUGUCAGGGCUGAGGCAUAAAUUAUUGGAUGAAGUCAGUAGUGAGUACCAAGGAGCAAAACCAGGACCAAAGGAUAAAUCAGGAAGUAGCAUCAAGAAGGAGCAAGCCAGAAGCAAGGACUGAAAAGCAAUGCACUACUUUUCAGUAGCUCAUCACACAUGACAGUUGCACAGAAAGCCAAUGACUUCCACUUUGAGCUCUGGUAGUAGCCUGGUGGGAGGACGUUAGUUUUCUUUAGUUGCAACAACAGCACAGCCAGUCCGUUAUCCUUCAUAUAAUUCAAGUUAUUGCUCUAGAGCAAAUCAGUAGCUGAGAUCACCAAAACCUGCAAUCUGGUUCAGCAUCAAAUAAAUCAUUGCAGAAGGGGUGUGUGUGUGCUUCUCUAUUUGGAAGCCCCAUAUUGCUGGUAAUAUGAUGGUUGGAGACAGCAGGAGUAUUUAACUUUUAAGGAAGGAAUUGGCCUGUAAUGGAGUUAUAUCCCACUUUUUUGGGCCAUAUUUCACAUAAGUUUAUAAACAUAUCCUUUGGAUUCCACCUAACAAACAAUGCAAUAUUACAUAAUUACACCACUGUUUGCAUCUGCUCAACUCUACAUAAAGUAGGAGCAAUGUUUUGUCUGCCUUCCUUCCUCUACUGCAACUCACAUGCAUGCACACAUGAUGGACUCCACUGUUGAUUUCUGGUCUGAAUAAAUUAGGAUAUCAUAACAAAGAAACUAAUGCAACUGAUAUUGCCCUAGUGUUUCUUUUGAACAACAAAUUCUAAACAGUUUCAUACAAUGGGCAAUCAGCUAUAAGAAGCAUGUAAAGUUUGUUAGGCUCUGGGAAUCUAGGUGCCAGUGGGAAUGAUUAGGGAAACUGAGUGGAGCCUUUAAGCAUCAGCUGCUAGUGCCCAUAAAUUAAGUGAUAAACCUUUGAAAAGCUAAUCUGAAAAGCAAGGAUUUAUAUUUGGGAUCACAUGCUUGUACAGGAAGUGCAUUCCAGAUUUCAGCAAGGGAGAGAAAGAUUUGAGAGGGACUGGAGAUGCAAAAAUUCACAAUAUGGUCCAAAUAUAUGUUUCCUCUUGGUUGUAUUCAGGAUUAAACUGC
This 6309-nucleotide long non-coding RNA is filed under the name Podarcis lilfordi (Lilford's wall lizard). The record is from RNAcentral. Lineage: Eukaryota; Metazoa; Chordata; Lepidosauria; Squamata; Lacertidae.